RNA transcript from Gavialis gangeticus (Gharial), 2354 nucleotides. It is a transcript of the gene named E3 ubiquitin-protein ligase TRIM39-like, with no coding region annotated. The record is from RefSeq and is a predicted model, not a curated record. The transcript has 9 exons. Lineage: Eukaryota; Metazoa; Chordata; Crocodylia; Gavialidae.
CUCUGGCCACUGCAUGAAGCUAAAAGGCUUCCGGGCUCAGGAAAGUGAAACUAGCUUGCAGCUUCUGUUCCCAUCUGGGGAGGGGCCAUGGCUGCCUGGGAUUUUGCAGGGAGCUUCAAGGAAGAAGCAACUUGCUCGGUGUGCCUGGACUAUUUUACAGAUCCAGUGACUAUUGACUGUGGGCACAACUUUUGCCGCACCUGCAUCAGUGAGUGCUGGGGAGGCUCGGGGCCAAACUUCUGCUGCCCCCAGUGCAGGGAAACACACCAACAGCAAAACCUCCGGCCCAACAGGCAACUGGGGAACAUGGUUGAGCUGGUGAAACGACUGAGGCUGCAGGUGGGGAAAGAGCCCAAGGGGCAGCGUGUGUGUGAGAAGCACCAGGAGGCUCUGAAGCUCUUCUGCAAGGAAGACGAAGCCCUGAUCUGCGUGGUGUGUGAUCGAUCCAGGGAGCACCGAGCUCACACUGUGGUUCCCCUGGAGGAGGCUGCCCAGGACUACAAGGAGCAAAUCCUAAGCCGCCUGGAGCAUCUGAGGGAGCAGAGGGAUAAGCUGCAGGGCUUGAAGUUUGCGUGGGAGCAGGAGAGUGAAAGGUUCCUGAGGCAGACGGAGCUGGAGAGGCAGUGGGUGAUGUUUGAGUGCAAGGGCCUGCGCCAGCUCCUGGCUGAACACGAGAGCCUUCUGCUGGCCCGGCUGGGAGAGCUGGACGAGGAGAUUGUGAUGAGGAGGGAGGAAAAUGUUGCCCGCCUGUGCGAGGAGACUGCCCGCCUGAGGGCCCUGAUCACAGAGCUGGAGGGGAAGUGUCAACAGCCAGCGCAUGAGCUCCUGCAGGGUGUCAGAAGCGCCGUGAACAGGGGUGAGGAGGUGACAUCUCUGCAUCCAGCCCCUGAAUUCCUGGAGCUGGAGAAGAGAAUCUGGGAUUUUCCUAGUGCGAACAAGCUCCAGGAGGCUGUGACAGGAUUUCUGGAGCGGCUCACUCUGGACAGAGGAUACAGAAGAGACCGAGCACAUGCAAUGGAUGUGACUCUGGACCCAGACACGGCUCAUCCCUACCUCAUCCUGUCUGAGGAUCGGAAAAGUGUGAGAGAAGGAGGCACACGACAGGAUGUACCUGACAACCCUGAGAGAUUUGAUACUUAUGUAAAUGUCCUUGGCUCUGAGAGGUUCAUGGGUGGCAGACACUACUGGGAGGUGGAGGUGGGAGACAAGAGGCGCUGGGGUCUGGGGGUGUGCAGGGAGUCUGUGUGCAGGAAGGGGGACAUCAUAUGCAAACCUGACAAUGGAUACUGGACCUUGUGGCUGCGGGACAGGGGAUACAAGGCCAGCGCCUCUUGCAGAAUUCCCCUCUCCGUGCGUGUGAGACCCAUGCGGGUGGGGGUUUUCCUGGACUACGAGGCAGGCAAGGUUUCAUUUUAUAAUGUGACUGACAGGUCCCAUCUCUUCACCUUCAACGACAACUUCUCUGGGACCCUGUGCCCUUAUUUCAGUCCUUGUCUCAAUGACGGGGGCACAAAUGCAGGUCCCUUGACCAUCUGCCCGGUCUCACCCAGCCCUGACCCUGACCCUGACCCUGACGCACACAGCGUUGGCCAUCUCCUCCCAGCUCCGGCCCAGCUCUCAGCCCCUUUUUUGCCCCCAGGAGUGGGGCAGGGGCCUGCAGAGGAGCAGGGCAAAGCCGGGGCUUUCCCUUCUUGAUGCCAUCUCCCCCAUAUUUCUCUGGCUCCUGGCUGGGGCAGUUUGGCCAUCGCUGUGUUUGGGUUUUGUGUGAGCAGCUUUAACAGCCAGCACCACAGAUUGCUGGGAACAACCCAAGAUAAAAGCCCCUUUACACCCCAACACCUGCACUGUCCUGGGCCAGAGACUGCCUAUAUGACCCCAUUGCAGUCUCUGUGCCGCUGCCUGCUGCUGCAGGGUCUGUGGGACCUCCUGAUGGCCUGGGACAGGAAGGGCCUCAUUUGCAGCCAGCCGCUGCCCCAGAGAGCUGGGUGCGGGGGAGAAAGACAGAGCUCCACAUGUCCCUGUCUCCAUGAUGAUACACUGCCGGACUGUUUUUUGGCCCCACAGGGUCAGCAUUACCCACAUGUCAUUACAAAGGGAUUAUAGGAUAUGUUGGUUCUUGUUUCCUUUUUCAUGUAAGAGUUGUGUAGGUAGUGGCUGACGCUCUGCAGAUUGCUGCAUUUGCCAGCUAUGGAAGGUACAUGGGGCAGAUGGGAGAUCUUGCUAGCUGGGUGGGCAGGUGGCAGCAGGUCUCUCUAAUAGAAGGCUGUCUGUUACCGUUACUUUUGGUAAAUGUGUCUGGACCCCAGCUCUGACAUUUGAUAAAGCUAUCAACUAACCAACUGCUUGUAGGUUAA